Molecule: ribosomal RNA, 253 nt
Filed under: uncultured bacterium
Lineage: Bacteria
Description: partial 16S ribosomal RNA
Rfam family: Bacterial small subunit ribosomal RNA
Source: RNAcentral
UACGGAGGGUGCAAGCGUUAUCCGGAAUCACUGGGCUUAAAGGGUGCGUAGGCGGGCAGGUAAGUCAGUGGUGAAAUCCCCGAGCUCAACUUGGGAAUUGCCGUUGAUACUAUCUGUCUUGAAUAUCGUGGAGGUGAGCGGAAUAUGUCAUGUAGCGGUGAAAUGCUUAGAUAUGACAUAGAACACCCAUUGCGAAGGCAGCUCACUGGACGAUAAUUGACGCUGAGGCACGAAAGCGUGGGGAGCAAACAGG